This 253-nucleotide ribosomal RNA is filed under the name uncultured bacterium. Its description in RNAcentral is "partial 16S ribosomal RNA". It matches the Rfam family "Bacterial small subunit ribosomal RNA", at positions 524 to 776 of the family's 1533-position model. The record is from RNAcentral.
UACGUAGGGUGCAAGCGUUGUCCGGAAUUAUUGGGCGUAAAGAGCUCGUAGGCGGUUUGUUGCGUCGGCUGUGAAAUCCCGAGGCUCAACCUCGGGUCUGCAGUCGAUACGGGCAGACUUGAGUACUGCAGGGGAGACUGGAAUUCCUGGUGUAGCGGUGGAAUGCGCAGAUAUCAGGAGGAACACCGGUGGCGAAGGCGGGUCUCUGGGCAGUAACUGACGCUGAGGAGCGAAAGCGUGGGGAGCGAACAGG